ACCCGAUGUUUCCGACGGGCCGCAUGACGUGUCGGGCAAAGAUUUAUCAGUAUGAGAUGGCGAUGCGUCCCAUUAGCUUGUUGGCGGGGUAACGGCCCACCAAGGCGUCGAUGGGUAGGGGUUCUGAGAGGAAGGUCCCCCACAUUGGAACUGAGACACGGUCCAAACUCCUACGGGAGGCAGCAGUGAGGAAUAUUGGUCAAUGGACGAGAGUCUGAACCAGCCAAGUAGCGUGCAGGAAGACGGCCCUCCGGGUUGUAAACUGCUUUUAGUUGGGAAUAAAGUGCAUCACGUGUGAUGUUUUGUAUGUACCAUCAGAAAAAGGACCGGCUAAUUCCGUGCCAGCAGCCGCGGUAAUACGGAAGGUCCGGGCGUUAUCCGGAUUUAUUGGGUUUAAAGGGAGCGCAGGCGGGCGUUUAAGUCAGUUGUGAAAUGCGGCGGCUCAACCGUCGAACUGCAGUUGAUACUGGACGCCCUGAGUGUACACAGGGAUGCCGGAAUUCAUGGUGUAGCGGUGAAAUGCUCAGAUAUCAUGAAGAACUCCGAUCGCGAAGGCAGGCGUCCGGGGUGCAACUGACGCUGAGGCUCGAAAGUGCGGGUAUCAAACAGGAUUAGAUACCCUGGUAGUCCGCACAGUAAACGAUGAGUACUCGCGGUUGGCGAUACAAUGUCAGCCGCCAAGCGAAAGCGUUAAGUAUUCCACCUGGGGAGUACGCCGGCAACGGUGC
Molecule: ribosomal RNA, 728 nt
Filed under: uncultured bacterium
Lineage: Bacteria
Also listed under: 1 other name
Description: bacterial SSU rRNA
Rfam family: Bacterial small subunit ribosomal RNA
Source: RNAcentral